AAUAUUGGACAAUGGGCGAAAGCCUGAUCCAGCCAUGCCGCGUGUGUGAAGAAGGUCUUCGGAUUGUAAAGCACUUUAAGUUGGGAGGAAGGGCAGUAAGUUAAUACCUUGCUGUUUUGACGGUACCGUAAGAAUAAGCACCGGCUAACUACGUGCCAGCAGCCGCGGUAAUACGUAGGGUGCGAGCGUUAAUCGGAAAUACUGGGUGUAAAGCGCGCGUAGGUGGUUUGUUAAGUUGGAAGUGAAAGCCCCGGGCUCAACCUGGGAACUGCUUUCAAAACUGGCAAGCUAGAGUAUGGCAGAGGGUGGUGGAAUUUCCUGUGUAGCGGUGAAAUGCGUAGAUAUAGGAAGGAACACCAGUGGCGAGGGCGACCACCUGGGCUAAUACUGACACUGAGGUGCGAAAGCGUGGGGAGCAAAC
RNAcentral lists this ribosomal RNA (421 nucleotides) under uncultured bacterium. Its description in RNAcentral is "partial 16S ribosomal RNA". It matches the Rfam family "Bacterial small subunit ribosomal RNA", at positions 360 to 773 of the family's 1533-position model. The record is from RNAcentral.